ACCAGCGCGGGAUGUAGCGGAUCUGAUGUGUCAUCUCGGCGAGCAGGCGAC
RNAcentral lists this small RNA (51 nucleotides) under Sinorhizobium meliloti 2011. RNAcentral describes it as "putative ncRNA". Lineage: Bacteria; Pseudomonadati; Pseudomonadota; Alphaproteobacteria; Hyphomicrobiales; Rhizobiaceae. The record is from RNAcentral.